UCUAAAUGCUGGAGUUUUUGAGAUAUAAGCCAAAAACUGCAUAUUACCCUGUGUUCUAUUUUUAGCCAUGACAGCCAUGUUUUUUUGACGAAAUAGAAAAUAAAACACAAACUUUAUUUUAUACACCCUACUGAUCAUUCAGUUGAAGUUUGGUUGAAUUUGGUUGAGUAGUUUUAGAGGAGAAGAUUUUUUAAAGUUAGCAAUUAUGAUGAACAAAUUGUGAAAAAUUG
This 230-nucleotide long non-coding RNA is filed under the name Mytilus galloprovincialis (Mediterranean mussel). The record is from RNAcentral. Lineage: Eukaryota; Metazoa; Mollusca; Bivalvia; Mytilida; Mytilidae.